This 477-nucleotide ribosomal RNA is filed under the name uncultured bacterium. RNAcentral describes it as "bacterial SSU rRNA". It matches the Rfam family "Bacterial small subunit ribosomal RNA", at positions 32 to 507 of the family's 1533-position model. The record is from RNAcentral.
GACAACGCUGGCGGCGUGCCUAACACAUGCAAGUCGAACGGAGAGGACAUGAAGUAUUUCGGUACGGAAUGCUCUCUUAGUGGCGAACGGGUGAGUAACACGUGGGCAACCUGCCCCAGACUGGGGGAUAACAUUGUGAAAACAGUGCUAAUACCGCAUGACAGGGUUCCGGGCAUCCGGGACCCUUGAAAGGAGAAAUCCGGUCAGGGAUGGGCCCGCGUCCAAUUAGCUAGUUGGCGGGGUAACGGCCCACCAAGGCGACGAUUGGUAGCCGAACUGAGAGGUUGAUCGGCCACAUUGGGACUGAGACACGGCCCAGACUCCUACGGGAGGCAGCAGUGGGGAAUAUUGGGCAAUGGGCGAAAGCCUGACCCAGCGACGCCGCGUGAAGGAUGAAGGUCUUCGGAUUGUAAACUUCUUUGAUCAGGGAAGAAAGAAAUGACGGUACCUGAAAAACAAGCCACGGCUAACUACGUG